CACACGACUCUCGGCAACGGAUAUCUCGGCUCUCGCAUCGAUGAAGAACGUAGCGAAAUGCGAUACCUGGUGUGAAUUGCAGAAUCCCGUGAACCAUCGAGUAUUUGAACGCAAGUUGCGCCCGAGGCCACCUGGCCGAGGGCACGCCUGCCUGGGCGUCACGC
RNAcentral lists this ribosomal RNA (164 nucleotides) under Glyceria declinata. Its description in RNAcentral is "5.8S ribosomal RNA". It matches the Rfam family "5.8S ribosomal RNA". From Rfam's summary of the family: 5.8S ribosomal RNA (5.8S rRNA) is a component of the large subunit of the eukaryotic ribosome. Lineage: Eukaryota; Viridiplantae; Streptophyta; Magnoliopsida; Poales; Poaceae. RNAcentral also lists the same sequence under 1 other name. The record is from RNAcentral.